AGUUUGAUCCUGGCUCAGGACGAACGCUGGCUGCGUGCUUAACACAUGCAAGUCGAACGCUGAAGCCCUCAGCUUGCUGGGGGUGGAUGAGUGGCGAACGGGUGAGUAACACGUGAGUAACCUGCCCCUGAUUUCGGGAUAAGCCCGGGAAACUGGGUCUAAUACCGGAUAUGACCACUGGCCGCAUGGUUGGUGGUGGAAAGUUUUUUCGAUUGGGGAUGGGCUCGCGGCCUAUCAGUUUGUUGGUGGGGUAAUGGCCUACCAAGGCGACGACGGGUAGCCGGCCUGAGAGGGCGACCGGCCACACUGGGACUGAGACACGGCCCAGACUCCUACGGGAGGCAGCAGUGGGGAAUAUUGCACAAUGGGGGAAACCCUGAUGCAGCGACGCAGCGUGCGGGAUGACGGCCUUCGGGUUGUAAACCGCUUUCAGCAGGGAAGAAGCCGUGAGGUGACGGUACCUGCAGAAGAAGUACCGGCUAACUACGUGCCAGCAGCCGCGGUAAUACGUAGGGUACGAGCGUUGUCCGGAAUUAUUGGGCGUAAAGAGCUCGUAGGUGGUUGGUCACGUCUGCUGUGGAAACGCAACGCUUAACGUUGCGCGGGCAGUGGGUACGGGCUGACUAGAGUGCAGUAGGGGAGUCUGGAAUUCCUGGUGUAGCGGUGAAAUGCGCAGAUAUCAGGAGGAACACCGGUGGCGAAGGCGGGACUCUGGCUGUGACUGACACUGAGGAGCGAAGC
RNAcentral lists this ribosomal RNA (741 nucleotides) under uncultured bacterium. RNAcentral's name for it is "bacterial SSU rRNA". It matches the Rfam family "Bacterial small subunit ribosomal RNA", at positions 10 to 760 of the family's 1533-position model. The record is from RNAcentral.